RNAcentral lists this ribosomal RNA (492 nucleotides) under uncultured bacterium. Its description in RNAcentral is "partial 16S ribosomal RNA". It matches the Rfam family "Bacterial small subunit ribosomal RNA", at positions 28 to 507 of the family's 1533-position model. The record is from RNAcentral.
GGUGAACGCUGGCGGUAGGCCUAACACAUGCAAGUCGAACGGCAGCACAGUAAGAGCUUGCUCUUACGGGUGGCGAGUGGCGGACGGGUGAGGAAUACAUCGGAAUCUACUUUUUCGUGGGGGAUAACGUAGGGAAACUUACGCUAAUACCGCAUACGACCUACGGGUGAAAGCAGGGGAUCUUCGGACCUUGCGCGAUUGAAUGAGCCGAUGUCGGAUUAGCUAGUUGGCGGGGUAAAGGCCCACCAAGGCGACGAUCCGUAGCUGGUCUGAGAGGAUGAUCAGCCACACUGGAACUGAGACACGGUCCAGACUCCUACGGGAGGCAGCAGUGGGGAAUAUUGGACAAUGGGCGCAAGCCUGAUCCAGCCAUACCGCGUGGGUGAAGAAGGCCUUCGGGUUGUAAAGCCCUUUUGUUGGGAAAGAAAAGCAGCAGGCUAAUACCCCGCUGUUCUGACGGUACCCAAAGAAUAAGCACCGGCUAACUUCGUG